GCAUGCUUGCGGCGGCUCGGUUGCUGAACCCUGCCACAGCGCGGCUGAUAAACGCAUCGACCUCUCGAGCGGAAGUACGAUAGAAACAAGCGAGGAAAUUCCACCAAGAUAUUUUUCACGUUGCGGGCAGCUGGGAAAAGGUGUCGCAAUGCUUCGCAAAUGUAUGCGACAGAAAAAAAGGGACGAAGCGGCAUCGCUAUAAAAGCCAUCGCCGCUGCAACUGCAACUGCAAAUCGCGCUUCGACGAUCGGCAAGUAUACGUCCGCUGCGAGAAUGAAAACUUCCACGUUCAUCGUUCUGCUGGUGGUAGGCGCCUGCCUCGUUGCCGGCAGCGACUCCCUGGUGGCUAAGCCGAACGCGAGGGCAAAGAGGAGCGACUGUGUCUACGAAGAGUGCAUGGACGAAGAGUGCGCUGCGCGCGGCAUGCAGUGCCGGCCGAAGGGGUGCGGAGGCUCCCACUGCGUGUAGCCCGUCAUCACGGUGGAUGUAAUGGAGCAGCGCUUCGCCAUGGGAAGAGUUCAUGGUUCCUCAGACUCAAGUGGAGCUUAAAGGAAGCAAGAAAGAAUGGCGAACAGGAUGACUGCGAAUUUUAUAUGAGGUCGUCGGCAGAUCCAACUACUCAUGAAAAAUUAAAAUUUACCAAAACGAAAAGCGAUCUUACCCACUGUUGUAUACUUUGGCAAAGUCACUUCAUUUGUAGUCGCACAGGAGGUCGGCUUCAACAUGACAAUACUUUGUAUAGUACAUCCUUGCGUUAUGCAUCGAGAACCUAUUCAAAAGCCUCUAUAUUUUCGGAUUAGGCUUAUGCGUUGUUUUCGGCAACAGAAUUCCGCCAUACAUUGCGGCGCUGUGGUUUCGCUUGUAAGAAAUCACUGCAUUAUUUUUGGCAGUGCCGAAAAUAAUACAGCAUAAUGUCGAUACCUCUCUCUUCGAACAGAGAAACUGAUUAUUCACUGUAUACCUUUAGUGCGGCUCUAAGUUUUCAUCGUUUAUUUUAAUGCCAUGCCACAUCAGCUAAACUUUUUGUCUAUUUAAUAUAUAUUAACACAAAACAUAUUUGCAACAAGUGUAAUGAAAUCCUGACUCGCUGUCGUUGACGGGACUUAACUUCACAAAGCACAAAUGUAUGCUAUACUUUUACAAAAGCAUGCCAAAACAUACCGCGGAUCAGUCUGCGCGCUUCUGUUCAUCAUGAAUCGCUGUGGCGGCCCGAUGGCCCGUGCGCAGUACUUGGGUGCACACCGCAGGUGGUCGAAAUUAAUCUGCAGCCCCCAAGUACGGCGUCCCUGAGCCACUCCGUGAGUUGCUGCGGAACAUCAUGUUGCGUAUCUUCAUUAAAUUUUAUCAUUUACUUAUUCCCAUUGGAUACGGGCUCGUGUCCAAUACAAUAUUUCAGCGACACCCCCUUCUGGCGUCGCCUGUGACUGCCUGACAACAACACAUGGGCAUGUUCCCGUCUUAUAUGCGGAAACAGAAUCGCUCACUCCCUUUGGGAUAUCGGUGAACUUCUAUUUGUUGUCAUGGGGACUAUUCUGGGAAUCUCGAAAUCGAAGCCAGCCUGUUUUUAACGCAAGUACGUGAUCUGCUGCCAAAGGAAGCUUUUGGAACGUAACCCAGUUAUCGUUAUCACACGAGGAACCUCACUACUGACAAGCUUUCAGAAAUCUGUUCAGAAAGCUUGCACGAAGUGUAUUGGGGCUUCAUGGGGUGUUAUCACGAGGCCGAAAAAAUACUACGCGCUUUACCAGUGUAUUUCACCGCAGAUUUUGGGUGUGGAUAUUCUAAAACCGCAAAGACGUCUGAAAGGGUGUGAGAGCUUCUAUUUCCGUAUAUAAGACGGGAACACGGUCAUGUCUUGUUGUCAGGCCGUUGCAGGUGACGCCAGAAUCUAGUUGCCUCUCACUUAAUCACCCUGUUUCGAUUUAGGAAGUUAGUAUCGCUACGCAGCGAAAUGGCAACAACAGUUUUGAAGAUCUUAAUCAAACUGUCACGGGAUGAAUUACUUUACACCGUCUCUCAAACACUGUGCAAAUCUUUAACUGUAGUCUGAAGUACUCUAUAAGCGGUUUUUAUGCGAGCGUGACUGAUGCGUCCUUGUUUAAAAUAAAUAAUUAUAGUAUUCA
Molecule: long non-coding RNA, 2123 nt
Organism: Dermacentor andersoni
Lineage: Eukaryota; Metazoa; Arthropoda; Arachnida; Ixodida; Ixodidae
Source: RefSeq, a predicted model, not a curated record